UACGAGAGGCCCAAACGUUAUUCGGAAUUACUGGGCGUAAAGAGCGCGCAGGCGGUCGUAUAAGUCGCGUGUGAAAGCCCCCGGCUCAACUGGGGAGGGUCACGCGAUACUGUUCGACUCGAAGGCAGGAGAGGGAAGUGGAAUUCCCGGUGUAGUGGUGAAAUGCGUAGAUAUCGGGAGGAACACCAGUGGCGAAGGCGACUUCCUGGCCUGUUCUUGACGCUGAGGCGCGAAAGCUAGGGUAGCAAACGGG
RNAcentral lists this ribosomal RNA (253 nucleotides) under uncultured bacterium. RNAcentral's name for it is "partial 16S ribosomal RNA". It matches the Rfam family "Bacterial small subunit ribosomal RNA", at positions 524 to 776 of the family's 1533-position model. The record is from RNAcentral.